Molecule: ribosomal RNA, 253 nt
Filed under: uncultured bacterium
Lineage: Bacteria
Description: partial 16S ribosomal RNA
Rfam family: Bacterial small subunit ribosomal RNA
Source: RNAcentral
UACGUAGGGUGCGAGCGUUAAUCGGAAUUACUGGGCGUAAAGCGUGCGCAGGCGGUUUUGUGAGACAGAUGAGAAAUCCCCGGGCUUAACCUGGGAACUGCAUUUGUGACUGCAAGACUAGAGUGCGGUAGAGGGGGGUGGAAUUCCACGUGUAGCGGUGAAAUGCGUAGAUAUGUGGAGGAAUACCGAUGGCGAAGGCAGCCCCCUGGGUCGUCACUGACGCUCAUGCACGAAAGCGUGGGGAGCAAACAGG